Pelobates cultripes (western spadefoot toad) is the source of this 601-nucleotide non-coding RNA. The record is from the annotation of a GenBank genome assembly. Lineage: Eukaryota; Metazoa; Chordata; Amphibia; Anura; Pelobatidae.
CAAACCAAAAUAGCAUGAAAAUGCUCCCAUUAGUGUAAAAAACAAACAAAAAACAGCUUCUUCACCAUGCCCCCUCCUGUUUUCUGGUGCCAUGGACAUAACGAUGAAUCAUGAAACAAACUAAACCGCUUGAUCAUUGCCCAUAUUAUAUGCUUCGUGAUUCGCCCAUACAGCGUUUCAUAGUUGUGGGAUUUCAGACGAAUUGCGAUUCAAUUGAAACCGAAUGCAAAGGUCUUAGAAACUUCCUUAUUAUAAAGCUGAUGGCAGAGAGAAUUAGAUUUGCAUGCUGUGAGGCACACAUUUUUAUUAAACCACUUAAACACAGUUUGACAAAAACAAAGCAACUUCAUACCUCAUUUCCAAGCUACUACAAUAAACUGCAGUGGUUAUGGUGCUUUGAGUGUCCAUUUAAUGUCACAUACCAAUAUAUGUGCAAAAUUUAAAAAUGUAAUGAAGUUGAGCCAUCACACAUGAGAUAAGGGUGCUCUUAAUUCCAGCACACAGAAUGAUGGCUAUAACAUGCACUAUCCUAGGCAAAAUAAUGGAGAUAUAGUAACAGGAUAUAAUUAUACAUUGCAUAAGCCUGCAUACAUUAUAAGGC